This is a long non-coding RNA of Leptinotarsa decemlineata (Colorado potato beetle), 558 nucleotides long. NCBI's taxonomy places the organism in Eukaryota, Metazoa, Arthropoda, Insecta, Coleoptera, Chrysomelidae. The record is from RefSeq and is a predicted model, not a curated record.
AACAUACGAUUAUUAACUUGUUUGAAAUGAGGUUUCUGAGCCAUUGUUUCAUGUCGAGCGAAAUUUAAAUAAAAAAUCUAACUGUUAAAUCGAAAUACUACAUGGCCUGAAAAGUCUUGAGUCUAACACAUAGAUGGCGCUUGCAUUAACCGCUUGUUCAGUUAGUACUAACCUUCAAGAGAAAGGUGUUGCAAUUUUAUGAUAUUCUACUCGUGAGUUAUAGUGCUAAUAGUUAGAAAACGUUGCUGAUUCGUUUUGAGAAAUUGACGGCACAUAAAAACAUUAGGCCGGGACUUUUCAGCCUAGGAUAGGUUAUAAAUCAACAAGUACUGUUCUGCAAAAUAGAGGUAUCGUGAGAAAUUAUUCAAAUAAUGAAAAACUACAAGACCGAAGGUAUCCAUUCGGAUGAGUUGAUAUGAAAGUGGUAUGAAAACGAUAUUAGGAAAUUGAAUACCCAACGGAACUGAAUACACUGCGAAAGGAAAUGAAAUAUUAAAAGAAAUUAAAUGGACUGUGAAAGAUGAAUACACUGCGAAAGGUGAGUAUGAUUAACCUCUU